Long non-coding RNA from Sebastes umbrosus (honeycomb rockfish), 444 nucleotides. RefSeq lists it as uncharacterized. Lineage: Eukaryota; Metazoa; Chordata; Actinopteri; Perciformes; Sebastidae. The transcript has 3 exons. The record is from RefSeq and is a predicted model, not a curated record.
ACAAUCCUUCCACCGUAUACGAUAAAGCCAAUUCUUAAGCAGUUUCACAUGAUGCAACUCUGUGAUGUCAACAAGAAAUACGGCAACGUCUUGCUCAUGUUGUGUGAUGCAAGAAAAUAUGUUAUUUAUUACACACAAGAAUGUAAAAUGAAAGAAAUCGUGAUUGAAGGGGAAUUCCACCAGUUUGACACAUCAAAGUCUUUCAUUUCCUCCUGUACUCCUCCUCCUGCAUCUCAUCUGGGUUAAUGAUUAAUUCUUGUAAACACCGACUGAGAGCUGAGCUGGACGGAAUCCAGGUAACCAAAGGAAUCACCAAAACAAGCAGAGCUUUGACUUGAAGGACGAGCUCAAGACGGACAGAAACAGAAAAGCCAAGUCUUUGAUAUCCAGCGAGGAGGUGAGGGAUCCGAGCUGAACCAGCUCUUCAGACAGAUGGAGAACGUU